This 513-nucleotide ribosomal RNA is filed under the name uncultured Pseudomonadota bacterium. Its description in RNAcentral is "bacterial SSU rRNA". It matches the Rfam family "Bacterial small subunit ribosomal RNA", at positions 392 to 896 of the family's 1533-position model. Lineage: Bacteria; Pseudomonadati; Pseudomonadota. The record is from RNAcentral.
CCAUGCCGCGUGUGUGAAGAAGGCCUUCGGGUUGUAAAGCACUUUCGGACGGAACGAAAUCGCGCGGGUGAAUAUCCCGCGUGGAUGACGGUACCGUAAGAAGAAGCACCGGCUAACUACGUGCCAGCAGCCGCGGUAAUACGUAGGGUGCGAGCGUUAAUCGGAAUUACUGGGCGUAAAGUGUGCGCAGGCGGCGUCGCAAGUCGAGUGUGAAAGCCCCGGGCUUAACUUGGGAAUUGCGCUCGAAACUACGGUGCUGGAGUAUGGCAGAGGAAGGUGGAAUUCCACGUGUAGCGGUGAAAUGCGUAGAGAUGUGGAGGAACACCGAUGGCGAAGGCAGCCUUCUGGACCAAUACUGACGCUCAUGCACGAAAGCGUGGGGAGCAAACAGGAUUAGAUACCCUGGUAGUCCACGCCCUAAACGAUGAUGACUAGUUGUUGGGGGAGUUAAAUCCCUUAGUAACGCAGCUAACGCGUGAAGUCAUCCGCCUGGGGAGUACGGUCGCAAGAUUA